Molecule: transfer RNA, 76 nt
Filed under: Mycobacterium kansasii
Lineage: Bacteria; Bacillati; Actinomycetota; Actinomycetes; Mycobacteriales; Mycobacteriaceae
Description: tRNA-Lys
Rfam family: tRNA
About the family: Transfer RNA (tRNA) molecules are approximately 80 nucleotides in length. Their secondary structure includes four short double-helical elements and three loops (D, anti-codon, and T loops).
Source: RNAcentral
GCCUCCGUAGCUCAGUUGGUAGAGCAGCUGACUUUUAAUCUGCGGGUCCGGAGUUCGAGUCUCCGCGGGGGCACCG